Suncus etruscus (white-toothed pygmy shrew) is the source of this 108-nucleotide small nuclear RNA. NCBI's taxonomy places the organism in Eukaryota, Metazoa, Chordata, Mammalia, Eulipotyphla, Soricidae. The record is from RefSeq and is a predicted model, not a curated record.
GUGCUCGCUUCGACAGCACAUAUACUAAAAUUGGAACGAUACAGAGAAGAUUAGCAUGGCCCCUGUGCAAGGAUGAACCCUGGUUGGCCACAUGCAAGGCAAGUGUCU